RNAcentral lists this ribosomal RNA (373 nucleotides) under uncultured organism. RNAcentral's name for it is "bacterial SSU rRNA". It matches the Rfam family "Bacterial small subunit ribosomal RNA", at positions 526 to 896 of the family's 1533-position model. The record is from RNAcentral.
CGGGGGGGGCAAGCGUUGUUCGGAAUUACUGGGCGUAAAGGGCUCGUAGGCGGCCAUCUAAGUCAGACGUGAAAUCCCUCGGCUUAACCGGGGAACUGCGUCUGAUACUGGAUGGCUUGAGUUUGGGAGAGGGAUGCGGAAUUCCAGGUGUAGCGGUGAAAUGCGUAGAUAUCUGGAGGAACACCGGUGGCGAAGGCGGCAUCCUGGACCAAUACUGACGCUGAGUGAGCGAAAGCCAGGGGAGCAAACGGGAUUAGAUACCCCGGUAGUCCUGGCCCUAAACGAUGAAUGCUUGGUGUGACGGGUAUCGAUCCCUGUCGUGCCGAAGCUAACGCAUUAAGCAUUCCGCCUGGGGAGUACGGUCGCAAGGCUG